GACGCGCCGUUUGGCCGGGACGGCGUCGUUUCGUUUGAGGACGAUCCCGGCGAAGACGAUGAAGACGGGCUUGUUGCUGCCGGUGUUGAUUCUGAAGGAGGAGACGACAAUGGUGGCGACGGUGUAGUAGCCGGAGCGAAGGGGGAAGGUGGGUAUGAUGGAGGGAUGGUGGAUGGAUAGGGUGAUAGGGAAGGUGGGGAAGGUGGGGAUGAAGAUGAUGGAGGUUGGGUGACAGGGGAAUUGGAAUUUGGAGUUGGGGCAUAGGGGUAGGGUGAUUGAGAUGUUGGGGAAGGAGUGUUUGGAGGUGACGGAAUGUAGGGAGGUUGGGAAAUGGGAGAAGGAGUGGUGGAUGGUGGUGUGGAAAUGUAAGAAGGUGGCUGGGAUAUUGGGGAAGGAGUGGUGGAUGGUGGUGUGGAAAUGUAAGGUGGCUGGGAUAUUGGGGAAGGAGUGGUGUUUGGAGGUGAUGGGAUGUAAGGAGGCUGAGAUAUUGGGGAAGGAGUGUUUGGAGGUGAUGGGGUGUAAGGAGGCUGGGAAGUAGGAGAAGGAGUAUUGGGUUGUGGAGGCACAUAAGGUGACUGAGAAAAGGGUGAUGGGGUUAUUGGAACAAAGGGUGGUUGAUGAUGAGGGGAAGGGGUGUUUGGAGGUAGAGGAGCAUGGGGUGGAUGGUUAUUAGGGGAAGGAGCAUAAGUGGGAGAAGGUGUGUUGGGAGGUAUGGGAGCAUAGGGUGGUUGAGCUUUGGGAGGAAAGGGAAGAUUAGUAGGAGGUGAAGGUGCUUCUGGAGGAGUAUAAACAGGGGGAGGAGUUUGAUGAGGUGGAUAAGGAGCUUUUGGAGGAGAAUAUGGAGGAGGCUCUCUCACAGCCAACACCACAAUAAUAAGUUUCUGACCCUUCUCACAAUUAUAAUCUUUUCCACUGAUGAAAUAAAAGGGACCCGAACGAUCAAACUGAAACUGGGAGGCACCAUCCUCAAACUUCUUGAUCGGGUUCUUCUUGUUACAUUUCUCAUAAUCCUCUUUGUUCACCACCAAAACCGAGUCCGAUCC
RNAcentral lists this long non-coding RNA (1043 nucleotides) under Phaseolus vulgaris (common bean). RNAcentral describes it as "long non-coding RNA (PVUL_LNC002969)". The record is from RNAcentral. Lineage: Eukaryota; Viridiplantae; Streptophyta; Magnoliopsida; Fabales; Fabaceae.